UUGAUAGCCAUGCAAGGGAAGUGCUUAAUCCACUGAGCAGAUCCAUCACAGGCAGCGGCGGUUCAAGGUUCCCCACACUGCUCUGCCACCGUGCCUGAAACAUGCCUGGUCACCAUGGUAGAGGGGGUUAUUUAGUCUCCACACCUGUACAGUUCUUGGACUUU
This 164-nucleotide small RNA is filed under the name Chrysemys picta bellii (western painted turtle). RNAcentral describes it as "TUC338 (ENSCPBG00000006508.1)". Lineage: Eukaryota; Metazoa; Chordata; Testudines; Emydidae. The record is from RNAcentral.